AAAAUAAUCCUACCCUUUGUGAAUUUUGUUUGUUUGAAUAAUUUUUUUUUUUAAAAAAUUAUUGGAGUCUUUCCCUUUAGAGUUUGCCUUUGAGUUUGUAAAAGAAUUCGAAAACAUCUAAAGGGGAUGGUCAAUAAUUUUUUUUGAAAAAAGACAUUUUUUAAAAUUAAACUUUUUGUAUUCAUUUGCCUAAAAAUUAUUUUUAUAAUAUAAAAACAACUUUUGACAAUGGAUCUCUUGGUUCUCGCAACGAUGAAGAACGCAGCAAAAUGCGAUAAGUAGUGUGAAUUGCAGAAUACGUGAAUCAUCGAAUCUUUGAACGCAUAUUGCACUUUUUUAGUUUACUAAAAAAGUAUGUCUGUUUGAGUAUCAGUAAAAUAUUCUCAUAAAAAUCAUUGUAUUUUUAUGGUUAUGAGUGUUUACAACGAUACAAGUUGUUUCACUUUAAAUUUUUUUUAAUAUUGAAAUUUUUCUAAUUUUAAUAAUUAAAAUUGGAUAAAAUUUUCCCGUCAAAAGGAAUAACCUAAACAAUUUUAAACGAUUAAUUUUAGCAAAAUUUUCGAAAAAAAGGAAAAUUUUUAUUAAAAUAACUUGAUCUCAAAUCAGAUAAGAGUACCCGCUGAACUUAAGCAUAUCAAUAAGCGGAGGAAAAGAAACUAACAAGGAUUCCCUUAGUAACGGCGAGUGAAGCGGGAAGAGCUCAAAUUUGAAAUCUUCAAGGUUUUACCUUGACGAAUUGUAGUUUAAAGAAGUGUUUUCUGCUGAAGUUUUGGUAAAAGUUCUUUGGAAUAGGACAUCAUAGAGGGUGAGAAUCCCGUAUUUGACCAUUAUUUUCAGCUUUGUGAUACACUUUCAAAGAGUCGGAUUGUUUGGGAAUGCAGUCCAAAAUGGGUGGUAAAUUUCAUCUAAAGCUAAAUAUUGGCGAGAGACCGAUAGCGAACAAGUACCGUGAGGGAAAGAUGAAAAGAACUUUGAAAAGAGAGUUAAACAGUACGUGAAAUUGUCAAAAGGGAAGCGUUUGACACCAGUGUUGUUUUCUCGAAAAUCAAUUAAAAAUGGCUCGAUUUUGUAUUGCUGAGACCUUAAAAGCUCACUGUACAUUUUUCGUGUCUUUUUAAUGCACUUUUCGUUUAACAAGUCAACAUCAGUUUCUUUUGUUGUAAAAGGGUCAUUGGAAGGUGGCUUUCUUUUCGGAGAAAGUGUUUAUAGCCUUUGGCCUCUGCAAUCGGAGAGACUGAGGUCUGCAGCGUAGACUCUUCGGGUUAGAUACAUUUGUGCUAAGUUAUAGCUUUUUAUAGACAACUUGUUGACUAUAAUUAGUCUUGUAGCUUACUCGCUUAUGCUAUUUUACCUACGCUUAGGAUG
RNAcentral lists this unclassified non-coding RNA (1365 nucleotides) under uncultured Neocallimastigales. Its description in RNAcentral is "partial contains internal transcribed spacer 1, 5.8S ribosomal RNA, internal transcribed spacer 2, and large subunit ribosomal RNA". The stretch from base 593 to 1365 matches the Rfam family "Eukaryotic large subunit ribosomal RNA", at positions 1 to 626 of the family's 3401-position model. Lineage: Eukaryota; Fungi; Neocallimastigomycota; Neocallimastigomycetes; Neocallimastigales. The record is from RNAcentral.